UCUUCUGCUUUAGCCCUUCGAUGUGCCUGCGGUCAUUCUUCUCACCGAGAGUUUUCUCUCCUCGUUGCUUCCCCGCAUUUGUCAUCUGCUGUAUCACGGGUGCCUGUGUGGGUUUUCUCUGGAGCUGCUCUGCCCUGCUGCACCGUCUGGCAUAUAGGUGUAAUAGGACAGGGCCCAGGGACUUGAAGUUUGUAAUGUAGGGUGUAGUUUGACCUCAAGGUGGUAUUCCUAGAUUGACACAGGAUGGCUGGAGCUAUUAAGAUCCUAUGCAUCGCUUUGAUUUUUGUCAUCACUUUCUUUCAGAUGCAGACAGAUUAAAUCCGUGGCAGAGCACCCCACACCGGGUGAGGGGGUUCCCGCAGGAAGGAGGUCAAGCCGGAUCGCAGCAGUCAAAAUGAAGUGAGCAAGGUGGUCUGCUUGUAUUCUCCGAGCCUCCUUGCUGCCAGACCUGCCUCGCCACCCUUGUGAGCCCUCUGAAAAUAUUAUGGGACUAUUCGACCAAGCCUUCACCUUUUCCGUUCGAAGGGUCUUUCUGAGCAGCCUUUGGCAACGGCUGGGGAGUUGCAUCGAGUCAGGGAGGGGGAGGAGGAGUGAGGGUCUGCUCAAGUCUCAGCAAUGUCGCAUCACCUUGUCUCCUCCUAAUCCAGGUAUACCUUGCAAUGACAGUGUCAGUAUCGGAGCGUGGCCAAAGCGUACGGCCCGAGGACCCUGGCCCUAU
This is a long non-coding RNA of Corvus hawaiiensis (hawaiian crow), 718 nucleotides long. RefSeq lists it as uncharacterized. The transcript is spliced from 3 exons. Lineage: Eukaryota; Metazoa; Chordata; Aves; Passeriformes; Corvidae. The record is from RefSeq and is a predicted model, not a curated record.